AAUAAGUGAUGAAAAAAACGUUUUGGUUCCAACUAAUGUCUUGUGAUAACUUAAAUUUUUCUGAUGUU
Trichechus manatus latirostris (Florida manatee) is the source of this 68-nucleotide small nucleolar RNA. RefSeq annotates it as small nucleolar RNA SNORD73. The transcript has a single exon. The record is from RefSeq and is a predicted model, not a curated record. NCBI's taxonomy places the organism in Eukaryota, Metazoa, Chordata, Mammalia, Sirenia, Trichechidae.